RNAcentral lists this unclassified non-coding RNA (324 nucleotides) under plant metagenome. Its description in RNAcentral is "partial contains 5.8S ribosomal RNA, internal transcribed spacer 2, and large subunit ribosomal RNA". The stretch from base 1 to 106 matches the Rfam family "5.8S ribosomal RNA", at positions 49 to 154 of the family's 154-position model. The record is from RNAcentral.
CGAAAUGCGAUAAGUAAUGUGAAUUGCAGAAUUCAGUGAAUCAUCGAAUCUUUGAACGCACAUUGCGCCCUCUGGUAUUCCGGGGGGCAUGCCUGUUCGAGCGUCAUUUCAACCCUCAAGCUCUGCUUGGUAUUGGGCUUUCGUGGGGAGCACACCCUCCUACGAGCCUCAAAGCUAUCGGCGGUGGUGCCCUGCUUCGAGCGUAGUAAAGCUUAUUCUCUCGCUUUGGAAGUUGGGUUCUCGCCAGCCGGAAAAACCGGGCCUCGCGCCCACUUUUUCUAAGGUUGACCUCGGAUCAGGUAGGGAUACCCGCUGAACUUAAGC